UCCCUUGUAGCUUAGUUGGUAAAGAAUCUGCCUACAAUGCAGGAGACCCGGGUUUGAUUCCUGGGUUGAGAA
This 72-nucleotide transfer RNA is filed under the name Ovis aries (sheep). It matches the Rfam family "tRNA". Rfam says of the family: Transfer RNA (tRNA) molecules are approximately 80 nucleotides in length. Their secondary structure includes four short double-helical elements and three loops (D, anti-codon, and T loops). Lineage: Eukaryota; Metazoa; Chordata; Mammalia; Artiodactyla; Bovidae. RNAcentral also lists the same sequence under 2 other names. The record is from Rfam by way of RNAcentral.